RNAcentral lists this ribosomal RNA (450 nucleotides) under uncultured bacterium. RNAcentral describes it as "partial 16S ribosomal RNA". It matches the Rfam family "Bacterial small subunit ribosomal RNA", at positions 338 to 795 of the family's 1533-position model. The record is from RNAcentral.
CCUACGGGUGGCUGCAGUUUCGAAUCCUUCACAAUGGGCGAAAGCCUGAUGGUGCGACGCCGCGUGAGGGAUGAAGGCCUUCGGGUUGUAAACCUCUGUCACUGGGGAAGAAACGCUUCAAGUUAAUAGCUUGAAGCCUGACUUAACCCAGAGAGGAAGCAGUGGCUAACUCUGUGCCAGCAGCCGCGGUAAUACAGAGACUGCAUCCGUUAGCCUGAAGCACUGGGAGGCGGGCGUGCGCAGUAGGUGUGAAAGCCCGGGGCUUAACCUCGGAAUUGCGCCUAAAACUACACGGCUAGAGCAUUGGAGAGGGUAGCGGAAUUCACGGUGUAGCAGUGAAAUGCGUAGAUAUCGUGAGGAACACCAGAGGCGAAGGCGGCUACCUGGACAAUUGCUGACGCUCAGGCACGAAAGCGUGGGGAGCAAAAGGGAUUAGAUACCCUUGUAGUC